RNAcentral lists this ribosomal RNA (1294 nucleotides) under Clostridioides difficile. Its description in RNAcentral is "bacterial LSU rRNA". It matches the Rfam family "Bacterial large subunit ribosomal RNA", at positions 1325 to 2627 of the family's 2925-position model. Lineage: Bacteria; Bacillati; Bacillota; Clostridia; Peptostreptococcales; Peptostreptococcaceae. The record is from RNAcentral.
GAAUCCCACAGGCCGUAAACCCAAGGUUUCCAGGGGAAGGUUCGUCCGCCCUGGGUUAGUCGGGACCUAAGCUGAGGCCGAAAGGCGUAGGUGAUGGACAACAGGUUGAUAUUCCUGUACUACCGAUAACCGUUUGAGAGAAGGGAUGACACAGUAGGAUAAGCUAAGCACACUGUUGGUUAUGUGUGCCCAAGCAUUGAGGCAGUCAAAGUAGGCAAAUCCGCUUUGAUAAUGCUGGGAUGUGAUGGGGAGCGAAAUUUAGUAGCGAAGUAGCUGAUUUCACACUGUCAAGAAAAGUCUCUAUCGAGGUUAAAGGUACCCGUACCGCAAACCGACACAGGUGGGUGAGGAGAGUAUCCUAAGGCCAGCGAGAGAACUGUUGUUAAGGAACUCGGCAAAAUGACCCCGUAACUUAGGGAUAAGGGGUGCCACCAUCAGGUGGCCGCAGAGAAUAGGCCCAAGCGACUGUUUACCAAAAACAUAGGUUUCUGCUAAGUCGCAAGACGAUGUAUAGGAGCUGACGCCUGCCCGGUGCUGGAAGGUUAAGGGGAUCUGUUAGAGCAAUCGAAGCAGUGAACUUAAGCCCCAGUAAACGGCGGCCGUAACUAUAACGGUCCUAAGGUAGCGAAAUUCCUUGUCGGGUAAGUUCCGACCCGCACGAAAGGCGUAACGAUUUGGGCACUGUCUCAACAACAGACUCGGUGAAAUUGUAAUUCCGGUGAAGAUGCCGGAUACCUGCGACAGGACGGAAAGACCCCAUGGAGCUUUACUGUAGCUUGACAUUGGGUCUUGGUACUACAUGUACAGGAUAGGUGGGAGGCUUUGAAACCAGGACGCCAGUUUUGGCGGAGCCAUCCUUGGGAUACCACCCUUGUAGUACUGGGACUCUAACCAUAGGCCAUGAAUCUGGUCUUGGGACACUGUCAGGUGGGCAGUUUGACUGGGGCGGUCGCCUCCCAAAAGGUAACGGAGGCGCUCAAAGGUUCUCUCAGUACGGUCGGAAAUCGUACGUAGAGUGUAAAGGCAAAAGAGAGCUUGAUUGCAAGACAUACAGGUCGAGCAAGGAUGAAAAUCGGACUUAGUGAUCCGGUGGUUCUGCGUGGAAGGGCCAUCGCUCAACGGAUAAAAGCUACCCUGGGGAUAACAGGCUUAUCUCCCCCAAGAGUCCACAUCGACGGGGAGGUUUGGCACCUCGAUGUCGGCUCAUCACAUCCUGGGGCUGUAGUAGGUCCCAAGGGUUGGGCUGUUCGCCCAUUAAAGUGGUACGCGAGCUGGGUUCAGAACGUCGUGAGAC